This 385-nucleotide ribosomal RNA is filed under the name uncultured bacterium. RNAcentral's name for it is "bacterial SSU rRNA". It matches the Rfam family "Bacterial small subunit ribosomal RNA", at positions 28 to 410 of the family's 1533-position model. The record is from RNAcentral.
AUUGAACGCUGGCGGCAUGCUUUACACAUGCAAGUCGAACGGCAGCGGGGGCUUCGGCCUGCCGGCGAGUGGCGAACGGGUGAGUAAUGCAUCGGAACGUGCCCAUGUCGUGGGGGAUAACGUAGCGAAAGCUACGCUAAUACCGCAUACGCCCUGAGGGGGAAAGCGGGGGNUUCUUCGGAACCUCGCGCGAUUGGAGCGGCCGAUGUCGGAUUAGCUAGUAGGUGAGGUAAAGGCUCACCUAGGCGACGAUCCGUAGCGGGUCUGAGAGGAUGAUCCGCCACACUGGGACUGAGACACGGCCCAGACUCCUACGGGAGGCAGCAGUGGGGGAAUUUUUGGACAAUGGGCGCAAGCCUGAUCCAGCCAUGCCGCGUGAGGGAAG